ACCGACGAGGGCGAUUACAACAUUAAGCUACGAAACCUGAUCAGUUUCCUGGAGGAGGGCGACAAGGCUAAAAUUACAUUGCGCUUUCGCGGGCGUGAAAUGGCGCAUCAGGAAUUCGGCGUGCGCCUGUUGGAGCGAGUGAGAGGCGAUCUGGAGCCGCAUGCAGUGGUGGAACAGUUCCCCAGAAUGGAGGGACGACAAAUGGUGAUGGUGUUGUCUCCCCGGAAGAAAGAAGUAAAAGCGGUGAAGCCGAAGGAAGCCAAGCCGAAGGUCGUUACAGAAAUCGAUGGUAAUAGUGAUAGUGCAACACCGGCCAUCGGCACAGGUCCGGC
Molecule: unclassified non-coding RNA, 332 nt
Filed under: Nitrosospira sp. Nl5
Lineage: Bacteria; Pseudomonadati; Pseudomonadota; Betaproteobacteria; Nitrosomonadales; Nitrosomonadaceae
Description: Long range pseudoknot
Source: RNAcentral